ACUGGGGUGAAGUCGUAACAAGGUAGCCGGAUCGGAAGGUGCGGCUGGAUCACCUCCUUUCUAAGGAGA
Molecule: ribosomal RNA, 69 nt
Filed under: Clostridioides difficile
Lineage: Bacteria; Bacillati; Bacillota; Clostridia; Peptostreptococcales; Peptostreptococcaceae
Description: partial 16S ribosomal RNA
Rfam family: Bacterial small subunit ribosomal RNA (bases 1-60)
Source: RNAcentral